CGCAUGGCCGAAGUCCGAAGCGUGCUGGUUGUACGUGAUCUCCGAAUGUAUUUUCAAUUCUAAACUACCUGACUGAAAGAAGUUUGAAUCUUUUGUUGGAUUGGUGGAGUACAUGUGGUGAAUCCAGAACAGAAAAUGAAGAUUGCCUUGAUGGGGAUUCACACCAUUUAUAGAUUCCCUGAUUGAAAGAAGUUUCGAAUAUUUGUGUUGGAGUUGUGGAGUACCUGUGGUGAAAACUUGCAAAUCCUAUUUUAGGAUUUUAUUCUUUUACAUUACUUACGUGAUUUGGUUUAAAAACUGCAAUCCUUCUGUAUACCGAAUUUUAAUCAAUCAUAAUCGAAAGACUCGGGGGAAGGAGGUGAUAAACCAUGUACCUUAAAAUUAGUUUGGUUUAUACUUAUCAUAAAGAAUGAAAAUAAAUAAAAUUGUAAAAGUAUGCAAA
This 442-nucleotide long non-coding RNA is filed under the name Daphnia pulex (common water flea). Its description in RNAcentral is "uncharacterized LOC124194924, transcript variant X2". Lineage: Eukaryota; Metazoa; Arthropoda; Branchiopoda; Diplostraca; Daphniidae. The record is from RNAcentral.